UACAGAGGUCCCAAGCGUUGUUCGGAUUCACUGGGCGUAAAGGGUGCGCAGGCGGUCGGGUAAGUCUGACGUGAAAUCUUCAAGCUCAACUUGGAAACUGCGUCGGAUACUAUUCGGCUAGAGGAAUGGAGGGGAGACUGGAAUACUUGGUGUAGCAGUGAAAUGCGUAGAUAUCAAGUGGAACACCAGUGGCGAAGGCGAGUCUCUGGACAUUUCCUGACGCUGAGGCACGAAAGCCAGGGGAGCAAACGGG
This 253-nucleotide ribosomal RNA is filed under the name uncultured bacterium. RNAcentral describes it as "partial 16S ribosomal RNA". It matches the Rfam family "Bacterial small subunit ribosomal RNA", at positions 524 to 776 of the family's 1533-position model. The record is from RNAcentral.